Molecule: long non-coding RNA, 308 nt
Organism: Cervus elaphus (red deer)
Lineage: Eukaryota; Metazoa; Chordata; Mammalia; Artiodactyla; Cervidae
Exons: 3
Source: RefSeq, a predicted model, not a curated record
UGUUUGUUUAGAGAGACACUGGCGGAGUGUGGGCCCUCUCAGAAGGCGAGAGCGGCCCUGGGAGAUACACGCUCCACAGACAGAGUUCACACUGUCUCAAAGGUUAGGGGAGCAUUUCCCACAAAGAAAAAGGAGCAAGCCAAAAAAGUAAGCUGCUGCCAAGUACACCGUCCGGUGAGAUGGUUGUCAUGCAUCUAAGAGCUGGAUGAAACCAGGGCGUCAUCAAAGACCGUGAGAUGGAAUCAGACUGCUUUGAACAGGAUGCCUCAGCGGAAUCCAACUUUGAUGUAAGUCAUUUUAUGUUUUUU